UAUAGGGAGGCGCUAGUGAUAGGAAAAUAAGAGAAAGAGAAAGUCGAAACUAGGGCAAACUCCCGGAAUAGGAAGUUUCCUUAAUGAUCGGGAGCAGUCAAAUGCUUGAUCUCUUCGGGAGCAACCCUUGGGUUGUUCUAAAUGACUGUUCAACGUUGAAUCCUUCAAAACGGCAUCUGACUUCCUGAAUCUCUCUUCUUUACUCUUUCACAUGCUUCCAACCUGGAAUGAUGAAAAUUAAGCACGAAUUAGGAGUGAGAAUGAGCUCAAAGUGCACAUAUCAAUACUAUUAAAAGGGAAUGAGUUUAAAUAAAUCUACUUAAAAAGUUGUUUGGACCUUUUUUUUUUUUUUUUUGGUCUUCCUUAUAUAUUAUAUGUUAUCCCUAUUUAAUCUCACUUUGUUAUCAGCAAAAUAAAUAUUAUUAAUUGGACUUUGGGCUUUUAACUUAAAAAGAAUAAUUUAACUGAUACAACCCAUUCAGAAAAG
This 487-nucleotide long non-coding RNA is filed under the name Brassica rapa (field mustard). RNAcentral's name for it is "long non-coding RNA (BRAP_LNC005737)". The record is from RNAcentral. Lineage: Eukaryota; Viridiplantae; Streptophyta; Magnoliopsida; Brassicales; Brassicaceae.